This 434-nucleotide ribosomal RNA is filed under the name uncultured bacterium. Its description in RNAcentral is "bacterial SSU rRNA". It matches the Rfam family "Bacterial small subunit ribosomal RNA", at positions 30 to 507 of the family's 1533-position model. The record is from RNAcentral.
AUUGAACGCUGGCGGCAUGGCUAAAACAUGCAAGUCGAACGAUCCCUUCGGGGGAGAGUGGCGAAAGGGCGAGGAAUAGAAUCGAAUGUACCCCAAGGUGGGGGAUAGCCUCUGGAAACGGAGGGUAAUACCCCAUGUGCUCUACGGAGGAAAGGUUUACCGCCUUGGGAGCAGCGAUUCUCCUAUCAGGUAGUUGGUGAGGUAACGGCUCACCAAGCCGAAGACGGGUAGCGGGUGUGAGAGCAUGACCCGCCGCAUCGGGACUGAGACACUGCCCGGACUCCUACGGGAGGCUGCAGUAACGAAUCUUCCGCAAUGGGCGAAAGCCUGACGGAGCAAUGCCGCGUGUGGGAUGAAGCAUCUUCGAUGUGUAAACCACUGUCAGGGUCUAGGAAUACUGACCAGACCCAAAGGAAGGGCCGGCUAAUUCCGUG